AUGAUAGUAAUGCAUGAGUUGCCUUUCUCAAUAGUUGAGUACAGUGGUUUUAGAGACUUCGUGAAAAGUUUGAAUCCCUUGUUCAGAAAUGUUUCUAGAAAUACUAUUAUAGAGGAGUGCAUGAAACACUAUAAUUUGGAGAGGUCAGUGUUCUCUGAACAUUUGAAGAAAUACAGUGGUAGAGUUGCUUCAACAGCGGACAUGUGGACAUCUAAUCAGACUUUGUCCUAUCUAUGCAUCACUUGCCAUUUGAUCACCAGCAAAUGGAUUUUGCAAAAGAGGAUCUUCAAAUUUUUUAUGGUGGAAACUCCACAUAACGGAGUAACAAUGUUUAAUGUUUUAUUAAAGAGUUUGCAGGAUUGUAAUAUUGAGGAACUCUUUAGUAUGACAUUAGAUAAUGCAUCAGUUAAAGGUACAAUGGUCAAUCAUCUAAGAAAAAAAAUCUGA
Molecule: ribosomal RNA, 447 nt
Filed under: Triticum aestivum (bread wheat)
Lineage: Eukaryota; Viridiplantae; Streptophyta; Magnoliopsida; Poales; Poaceae
Description: partial small subunit ribosomal RNA
Source: RNAcentral